UACAGGCAGAAGUUUUAUGAAAACAAUCAGCGGCGGCAACUGAGCUCGACGAAGGGGUGCUUCUCGCAGGUCGGAGGCGGUUAUUUAAAACGAGAGCUUUGCGGGCGUCAGCCCAUUGUGCGGGGCCUUUCAGCGGCGGCAAUUAAACUCAACGAACUAAAUAAAAAUACAGAAGGGAUAAGCAGAGUGGCCAUUGGCGGGAGUAGAAGCGGCAGGCUUUGCCUCAUUCUGGCUUCGGCGAGGCGAGUGGGUAUGAAUGAAUUCUGUCACCGCUGCCGUUGCUGGAAACCAGUUUUCAGCUUCCAACCUGAGAGAGGUCGAUUGCCGAGAGCUGGGAGUCAGGUCAGAACGUGGCUCAUCGAUUGCGUCUUCGAGAUGCUCGAGGGAAACCGUAAUUAGCAUAGCCGCAGCACGAAUUCGUGCCAGAGCUGAAGCGGAAUGAGAGCAGUGCAUGCUAAGCACAAGGUUAUUAAUAAUCAAAUGGAGAAAGCCCGUGUAGGUAUGGAGAGAGCCCACAUAGAGUCUACAUUAGGAGCUUCUAAUCCUCAACGAAGGUGAAUGAAGCAGCAGCUGAUUUAGACAGCGGUGAGUCUACAACUGAUAUAAGUCAUGUUUUGUCAUCCCAUCAGCCAGUGCAUCUUAGUAAAGAAUGUGUCCAAAAGCAUUUUGGCUAUAGAAAAAAAGGUCGAACUCUGCAAGGAGAGACUGUCCACACCACACAGCCAACAUGCCCUUCAUGAGGUCCGGGUAUCGACAGUAAAAGCCUACAGCAGCAAUACCCUUCUGCAGUUCCAUCAGAGCAAAUGCCUCAGCCAAGAGUCGCUGCUGAUGCCAACCCCAUCUGCACAGACGGGGACAGACUGACCUUCCGUCCAUUCCAGCACACGCAUUUGGUAAGCGACAGGUGUAUCGGAUUUGGCUCCUCGAGACCUGGAUCACGGCAGCACUGAGAGUGUCCUGCAAUCAGUCUGCCGCAUAUCCGUCCUGGAAGUCAAGCUCUCGCAAUGCCAUGGAAGGUCUCUAAGUCUCAAACGUAGUGCGGAGCUGGACCUUCUCUGUAAGCGGCUUAGUGGGGAGUCACUGCAACCUGCACGAAGGGUUAGAGCAGUUCAGCUGGGGGUUUCCAAUACGGUGGCAGUUACACAUGCUAUGGCUCUGUGGUGAACUACAUAUACCUGUCUGGACAGGCCCCCCCCCCCCCCGCUGACUGCUCCUGUGGCUCCUCCCACUGACCCCUGUAUAAAGGCGAUUGGAGACAGAGCCCCGGCCUCUCAGUCUCCAGGAUGUAGUAUGGUAGUCACUCACUGCUGGUUCCUUCUUCCAGUCAAUAAAAGCCUAUAUCUCGCCUCACGUCUCCGAGAGUUAUUGACGGUGCGUCAGGCUCUCCAGAGGCAAUUGAAGAAGCUCUCUUCAGUAGACUCGAUAUUUUUCCAAAGAACCUCAGAAGCUCUCGGAGCUUGUAGACCUGUUGUUGGAACUGCAAGCCACGAGAAAACCAGGGUUACCUACAAGGACUGAGUUUCUUGGAAACAGCAAGAGGAAUAAACCUUACAGAGGGAAAAUUACCAAACAGUAUGCAUGAACAGUGGAUGAUCGAAAGGUUCAGGGAGAAAACAUGGCAUCAUGCCUGAUGUUCUAUCAAUAACUCUAGGAGACUGGAAGUAGAGUAAAUAGCGAUAGGCUUUUAUUAACAGUGAAAAUGGAGCACGACCGUGUUGGAUGACUGUGGGAGGAGCAGUGCCCCAUAGGGGUACCUUUAUCCAGGGGACUGUGGGAGGAGCCGCAGGAACAGUCAGCAGAAGGACAUGUCCAGACAGGUAGACAUGGUUUACCACACCCCCACCUGCCAUUUUCAUUCUUCGUGGAAUUGCCUGCCACCACACUAAAAUGGAAAAUGACUCCAGCUUUCUGCUCUCAACUCCUGUUAGCCUGCCAUUCAAAGAGAGGUGUUCAGCAAAAAUGUGGAAAAUCAGAGCCCCUAUCAUGGCUAACAAACCUUAAUUAGAAAGCUCAUGAGCUCUGAUGGACAAUACCCUGUCCAAAUGCAGAAGGUACAGAGGAAAGCUGUUUGCAGACUGGAGACGUAAUCUAAAGUAGCACUCAAUAUGUUUCAAAUGUUGUGCUUCAGCAGCACACCAAGGAAAAGACUGGAAAGCUGUCAUCCACUGCACUGAGUGUGACAGCGACAGCACAGACCAGCAGUUCAGUCAGCAACUACUACUGGUCCCACAGCAGAGCACGGCGGGGAGCCAGGUGUGAUUCCAUCAGAUGUUCAGUAGAUACUUUCUCAUCCAGAUGUAAGUGGGAAAGGCUUUCAAGGCAAAUCCUGCUCAAAGGUAUGUCUAGUCAAAGUCUAAUUGAAAGGAUGCCAUGAGCAUUUGUGGUAUUGGACGAUCAGAGCAAUGUGUCAUCGGCAAAAUCACCAGUCUUUGACAUAUUCAGUGUUCAAAGUCCCGUUUCCCUGUACACUCUAAAGGCAUGUUCAGGAACAUCAGAAGCUGCCAGAAGAAGAGCCAGUGGAUUUGUGUGGAGUCAUGGAAGGGGCUCAGUUUACCCUUGCCAGCCCUCACUGAGCGUGACAACACUUACAACAACAGGGACAAAAUCCCAACCCCUGGUGCUGCUUGCGAUCAUUCACAUCUGAAGCUACAGCUGACAAGAUUCCCCCACUGGACUCUGCUGUUGGGAUUCUCCUGACUAGCAGAGACACCACCCAUGCACAUGAGGUACGUGAACAGAGCAAUGGUUGGCACGAUGUACCUUAUCCCCAAUGACAGGACCUGGGUUGGGUCAUAGUGGGUGAAAUCUGUUUCAGUGGUGCUCAUCAUCCCACUCAGUACAUUUAAGGCUAAUGUCCUGGGGAAUGGGUGCCCACGUUAUUUAUGAACCUGUGAGACUGGAAUCUGUAUGAAAGAGAAAACUGUAGAGAGGUAAGCCAAGCACCCUGACAUAGCCCAGCCAGAGCUAGGCAAGCUGGUCUUCUGUCAGUCAGAAGACAAAUAUAAGCUGGCACCUUUCAUGGAAGGUGAGGUCUUCCUUCGAAUCAUGAACAAAGAGUUUAGCAAAGACAAUUCCAAAAGAUGAGUCACCUUUCUUUUCUCCAGUCCUGCUGAAGGGUCUCAGCCCGAAACUUCGACUGUACCCUUUUUCCUAGAUGCUGCCUGCUCUGGCUGAGUUCCUCCAGCAUUUUGUGUGCGUUGGUUAGUCAAAUAGUUGGGUAGUUCCCCUUUCCCUACCGAUCUCCACGACAGCUCCGACCAAACAGCACAGAGCAGUUCCUUAGUUUACCCUGGUCCCUCAAUCACACAUUGAGAAGGAAACCAGAAAUGAAAGAUCUUUACAUGGAAUUUAUGGAUCAAUCAUGAGCUAGCUCCUCCGCCAGGUCCCAACAAAGAAAACUGGUAUCUGCCCAACCUUGGUGUUUACCACCCCCCAGAAACCUGCACAAAUACAAAUUGUCUUUGAUUUAAAUGUGCAUUUCAAAGUGCAACAUGCUCUUGCCGAGUCCAGACCUCAAUAACGGUCUGCUCGGGGUCCUCAUGUGCUUCCAAACUGAGUCAAUGUCUGUAGUGGUGGCAGACUUUGGCCUGUUCCACUGCUUCCUAGUGAGAGAGGAUCAUCAGGACUACCUCAGAUACUUGCAGAUUUGUGACCACCAACUGGACAAUGAGAGUACCGCAUGGGAGUUCAUGCAUUUAGUAACUGUCCCUCUCCAGCUGUGGCAAUCUAUGGUCCUAAGAGGACAACUAUCAAGGGAAAGAAAGAAUUCAGGACUGAGGCGUGGAGGUACAUAGAAAGGCAAUUCUAUAUUGAUGAUGGUCUUCAAUUAUGUUCCCUAGUAGAAGAAGCCGUCAUUGUGCUGAAAUCAGUGCAAGACAAGUUGCCGCAUUCUAAUCCCAGACUGUAGAAGAUCACAUCCAACAAUGUGGAGGUCAUGCAGUGUUUCCCAUCUGAAGAUCUUGCCGAAGGUCGAAGGAAUCUUGAUCUUGGACAGGACUUCCUUCCUAUGCAGUGCACUCUAGACCUUCGAUGGAACCUUGUUACCAAGACCCUUACUGCCCAGGUUGAUACUGGAAGACCCUUCACAUGUCGUGGUGUGCUGUUGACUGUCAACAGACUAUUUGAUCCUCUUGGAUUUGCUGCUCCAUUUGGUAUCCAUGAAGGCUUCACGCUACAAGAGUUGACCCCAGAUACUUGCAGAUGGGAUGUCCUACUCCCUAAUGAGAACUAUGAGCAGAGGCAGCAGUGGUGAUCUUCCCUUUAGGAUCUUCGUGGACAAAGUAAAGCUCCCAAACGAGAUGGCACCUUACCAAGGCUUGAAAUCAGCGCUGCUGUUCUAGCAGUUGAGAUGGCCGAGAUGAUAAUUGAAAGUGCUGGAUUCAGGGCCAACAGCGAGGUUGUAUUCACUUAUACUGCUAAUGAAACAGGGAGAUUCUAUGCUUAAAGGUAGAUACUUUAUUGAUCCCAAAGGAAUUACAAUGUCACAGCAGAUAUACAAGUAAUGCAAAUAUUUGAAAAGAAGUAAGAAAGAAUAAAACAUAAGUUAUCUCAAGCAAUCUAACAGGAGGGAAUCAUCACUUCUCGGCUAUAGGUUGACUCAUUAUAGACCCUAAUGGCCGAGGGUAAGAAGACCUCAUAUAACGCCAUAUGGAGCAGCGCAGUUAUCUUAGUCUGUUACUGAAAGUGUUCCUCUGUUCAGCCAAGGUGGCAUGCAGAGGGUGAGAAACAUUGUUUGAAAUUGCCAGGAUUUUCCGUAGUGUCCUUUGUUCUACCACAGCCUCCAGUGUUUGACUCGUAUAGCAAAUACAGUCAAUGAAUGCUGCCUGGCCUGCUGAGUUCCUCCAGCAUUUUGUUUGUGUUGUUCAGACUUCCAGCAUCUGCAGAUUUCCUCUUGCUUGUCCUAAAACAGAUUCAGCCUUUCUAAUCAGUUUAUUGAGCCUGUUGGCAUCACCCAUGUUGAUGCCAUUGUCCCAGCACACCACCACAUAGAAAAUUGUACUGGUGACAACAGGCAGGUAGAACACGUGAAGGAGAGUCCUCCACACUCCAAAGGACCUCAGUCUCCUCAGGAAGUAGAGGUGACUCUGGCCCUUCUUGUACACAACCUCUGGGUUGGUGCUCCACUCGAGUCUGUCAUCCAGGUGCAUCCCAGGUACCUGUAGGUCCUCACCAUCAACGGUAACAGGGAGCAGAGCAGGCUUUGUCUUCUGAAGGUCCAUCACCAUCUCCUUUGUGUACAUAAUAGGAUCCAAUGUAUCAGGCAAGCAACUCAGAAGAGCUGAUGGAACUAGGUUCCUGCAGAUCACAGCCUGGCCGAUCAUGCCAUCAGCUAAUCAGCUCACCCUCAUGGUUAAAUGAUUCAGCAUUUCUUGCUGAUUCCCAUCAGUAACACCAUCAAGGCUGGUAUUUUCGAAGUGAGAAUGGUUAAAGGCAACGUAUUAAGACUGCUUUCAAGACCAGUCUCUGAAACUAUCAUCCUUUUGCCUCUGAUCAAGUUUAACAUCCUACGGACGCCAGGCAGAGAGUGUUCCAGAGGUACAUUUCAUUUUGUAUGGACAUCAAUUCCUGUAUAUAAGCUGUCUUUUAUAGAGCUUCCUGUACAGCUUAGUUUUGGUUCUAUCUGAAACACAUGGUGGAAACACAUUCAUUUGCAUCCUCUGUUUAUUUGCCCUUGAAAUAGCAGUAUUGUAAGUCUUAAGUGUUCGUUAAUAUUGGUAAGCAUUUAGCAGACAUAUUUUGAAGGAAGAAUUAAGUUUUAUUGUGCAGUAUGUCAUUAUUAAGAUAUCAUUGUGCUAUGAAUUUACUCUUGUUUACACAGCAUAGUGAUGGAGCAUUGCAAAUGUGUAUUACCUUGGUUAACACUGAUUGUGGGAAUAAUUUACAAUAUUAGUAUAUUCAGGCAUGCAACAAUUCUGUAUUGAAUUUAAUUGUUAUUUUAUUAACUCUGCAGUUUUACAAGCAAGAUCACAUUAAAAACCCUGAAGAAAGUUUCCACCUCUUGUGAUUUUUGAGAAGUGGUUUAACUCGCUGCUUAGCUGUGCAGAUAUACACUGUGAAGGCAGUAGAUUCUCCUUUACCUUAUGCUUUUCUUUUUUGAAAUAAAUCUUUAUAAAAUUGUUUCUAUGCAGUCAUGUUGGUAGCUUUAACAACGAGUGCAAGUUGCUGACAAACUGUUGUUUUUUAAAUAACCCAAAUUUAAAAAUUCUCUUUUCAGACCAUCAUUCUCUGACAUGCUCUCCUCAGAUGAAAAUUGUAUUUCCACCCGUUUACAGUCUGGAGCUGGGGAUCAUUGGAAAGGGCAACUCACUUUCAUGGAGUGAGUAAUUUGGUGUGCUUGACACAAAAGGUUUAUCACACAACUGUCGCUGGCAAUGAGCAAACGUGUGUCGUCCUGCCCUUCAAAGAUGCAACUGAACUUUCCACCAUCAGAACGGAGAACAGAAGAAUUUGCCAGUGCUGUUAUCAUCUCAGAGGUAGUAUUAAGAAAUUACCCUGCUCAUUCCCACCCCUCUUGAUAUACGCAAAGGUUCUCCAACCACACCUGUGCAGACAAUUCUCUGUCGGUUGUUCAGUUUGCUUUCCACUUCUCCUUCCCUUCCCACCGGCGCUGAUGUUGUUUCAUGUGCUUAACAAAAACCACAGUCCUUCCAUUAUGAACAAAACAUAAGCAGUCGCCUUACACUGUCGUCAUUGUGUCAGGCGCGGUCUCAUAAAGAGAACACAACAACGCAGCGAUGGUGCUUGUGAAUUACGUAGAAGAGUUUCCAUUAUGAACAAUAUGCGUCAUCCGUUACCCAUUACAUUGCUCAACACAGGUCCUCCCAGAAUUGACCAAAACCAACAUUGUGAGUCUGCCUGGAGCUCGAUGAGCUGCCCGGCUCAGGUCCCGAGUGUUUUAGCUGGAGUCAUGGCAGAUGCUUCUGACUCAUCCAGGGCUAUGCUGAUAAACACAUGGUCAUGCCGUGAUGCAGGGGGUAUGCGAGUGAAACCGUCCAGAUCUUGAUGGGCUGAUUUAAGGCGAUCUUCAGAAAUACAUUCAGGUUUACCCUUCCUAUUGGCAUUUAGUGGGGUUAAUGAUCAGCCCAUGUUGGCUUAUGUGCUUGAAAAGUGCCACAACCACGGAUUCAGCAGUGCAGUAGAUACGGCAAUUACACUCGCGAACAUGCACGUGUCAGCUAAUUAUUAUUUUAUUGUGAUAGUAUUUAAUUCCAUUCAUCCCGUUGCAGUGCUUGUCGAGACUGGGACAUAGCUAUGUUUCAUUAUCUGCAUUCCGCCUUGCCUGAGAAAUUGGACUGUCGAGUCAACUGACUCUGAAAACCAGCGGUAUUCGUUUAACUGUUAGUUGUUCUUUUCAGCCGCAGUGUAGGCUUCAUUGUCCAUUUGAGUGUUUUAGUCCUGUUUGGCCUAGUGUUUACUGUUUUCUUUUCCCUUUAUUGCUGUUCGCAUUAAAGUCUGAACUAUCAACCUAUCUCAGUGUCUCUCACUCUGUACUUGGGCCAUAUCCAAACCUGGUGACAGAAAAGUUUGCAGAGAUGGGAUAAGUGUUUUCGAUGCACUGUGGCAAGUAUGUCUUCCAGUUAUGCAAAAUUAAAAUCUAAUUUUUUUUAACACAGAGUCCAUUAGUCGUUGGUAAAUCUUGUUGCAUUGUUCAAUCCAGAUGGC
Molecule: long non-coding RNA, 7662 nt
Organism: Hypanus sabinus (Atlantic stingray)
Lineage: Eukaryota; Metazoa; Chordata; Chondrichthyes; Myliobatiformes; Dasyatidae
Exons: 3
Source: RefSeq, a predicted model, not a curated record